UACGACUACAUAUCAGGCAUAUCAAUAAGCGGAGGAAAAGAAACUAACAAGGAUUCCCCUAGUAACGGCGAGUGAAGCGGGAAGAGCUCAAAUUUGAAAUCUUAAAGGGUUUCCCUUUACGAAUUGUAGUUUAAAGAAGUGUUUUCUGUUGGAGUUUCGGUAAAAGUUCUUUGGAAUAGGACAUCAUAGAGGGUGAGAAUCCCGUAUUUGACCAUUUCUUCCAGCUGUGUGGUACACUUUCAAAGAGUCGGAUUGUUUGGGAAUGCAGUCCAAAAUGGGCGGUAAAUUUCAUCUAAAGCUAAAUAUUGGCGAGAGACCGAUAGCGAACAAGUACCGUGAGGGAAAGAUGAAAAGAACUUUGAAAAGAGAGUUAAACAGUACGUGAAAUUGUCAAAAGGGAAGCGUUUGACACCAGUGUUGUUUUCUCGAAAAUCAAUUAAAAAUGGUAGGAUUUUGUGUUGUAUUGACUUUAUCAGCUUUCUGCACUUUUUUCCUAUCUUUUUUAAUGCACUUUUCGUUUAACAAGUCAACAUCAAUUUCUUUUGUUGUAAAAGAGUCAUUGGAAGGUGGCUUUCUUUUCGGAGAAAGUGUUUAUAGCCUUUUACUUCUGCAAUCGGAGAGAUUGAGGUCUGCAGCGUAGAUCCUUCGGGGUUAGAUACAUUUGUGCUAAGCUAUAGCCUUGUAUAGACAACUUGUUGACUAUGCUCAGUCAUGUAGCUUACUCGCUUAUGCUAUUUUACCUACGCUUAGGAUGUUGACGCGCGUGUGUGCGUG
RNAcentral lists this ribosomal RNA (774 nucleotides) under uncultured Neocallimastigales. RNAcentral describes it as "partial large subunit ribosomal RNA". It matches the Rfam family "Eukaryotic large subunit ribosomal RNA", at positions 24 to 637 of the family's 3401-position model. The record is from RNAcentral. Lineage: Eukaryota; Fungi; Neocallimastigomycota; Neocallimastigomycetes; Neocallimastigales.